AUGGGCGGCGGCGAAGACGUGAACGCGGCGGCCAAUGCGGCGGCGGCCUGCACGUCCUUGGGUGCCGGCGAGGCGGCGCGCGGGAGGACGUCGGCGAGCUCCGGGAAGUUGAGGUGCGCGGACCGGGCGCCCUUGAUGGCGAGCGCGGCGACGUCGUGCGCGCGCGCGGCCAUCUCGGCGGUGGGGAAGGUGCCGAGCCAGAUGCGCGACUUCUUGCGCGGCUCGCGGAUCUCCGACACCCACUUGCCCCACGCCCGCAUCCGCACACCGCGGUACACCGGGUGCUUCCCGUCGCUGCUCCGCUUGCUCUUCUUCUUCGUCGUCGUCGCCUUCCCCUCCUCCGUCUCCUCACGCCCUCCCUCUCCCUCGUCCAGCUGCCGCUUGCGCGGCGCCUCCUUCACGGCAUUGGCUGCGCUCGCCGGCGAGGAGGGGCACGACGAAGAGUCCGUGACGGUGGACGAGCACGACAUGGACGUGGAGCUGGUCGUAUACGACGACGUCGAUGACGACGAGGACGACGAGGUUUCUUGGAGCUCCCGAGCGGGCGCCAUGGCCGCGUGCAGUGGGCGCACGAAGAGGGAUGGAGAGUAUGGUUUCGCUGCAAGCGUGAGCUCUUGCCGCUCCGCCUUGGACUUGCGGUGGUGUGUGUCUGUUCGUAUCUGCAGUGGGGGGUUUAUAUGA
RNAcentral lists this ribosomal RNA (681 nucleotides) under Triticum aestivum (bread wheat). RNAcentral describes it as "partial small subunit ribosomal RNA". Lineage: Eukaryota; Viridiplantae; Streptophyta; Magnoliopsida; Poales; Poaceae. The record is from RNAcentral.